GGAUGCGGACCGAGUGUCACAUGAAUUGCGACUAAAAGGAUAGCAGUUUACAUUCAAAUAGUUUUAAUUCUGUACAGGCUUCCACCACUAAAAUGGCUAGAUCUACUCGGCAAAAAUGACACAUCACCGCACUUAAUGAACCCGCAGUAGCCUUUAGUUUCUUCUAUUUAAACCUUGUUAGGACUUUCCGAAAAUGUCCAAUUGAAAUCUCUCUGCUUGUUGGAGGAGUUGGAAGAGAGCAAUCGUUGCAGAAGCUGCCUAUUAAUAUGUAUGGAGAAACUGCAGAUGCUUAAGGUCCCUCAGCAUCAAGUCGCAGGACAUGAAGCGGGCAUUGGGAAGCUGGGUCCCCUCGUGGAUGAAUCAGGGCGCUUCUACAAGCCUCUGCAAGGUGAUGAACGAGGGUCCAAUGAGGUUGCAUUCUAUACUUCAUUGUCUACUAACAGUGGGAUCCCGGAACACAUUCAAAGAUUUUUCCCCACCUUUUAUGGCACUCAGCUCGUAGAAGCAUCUGAUGGAUCUGGCAUGCUGCCUCACUUGGUCUUGGAUGAUCUUGCAUUAGGUCGUGUCAGUCCUUCAAUUAUGGACAUUAAGAUUGGUUCAAGAACCUGGGCACCCGAAGCAUCCGAGAAAUACAUUGAAAAGUGCUUAAAAAAGGAUCGAGAAUCAUCAAGCCUUUCAUUAGGAUUCAGGAUAUCGGGGUUGCAAAUCUAUAGAAGCAAAGAACUAGGGUUCUGGAAACCUGGAAAGAAAGCUGCUCAGAAACUCUCUGCAGAGGAAGUCAAGUUAGUCCUGAGAAGGUUUGUUUCUUCUAACACAUUGAAAGAUUUGGAUUCGAAACCAGACUGCGCUUUCGCAUCAACUGGUUAUGGCGGCUCUACUGGCAUUUUAUCUCAGUUACUGGAGCUGAAAUCCUGGUUUGAGGAUCAAACUAUAUUCCAUUUGUAUUCUUGCUCAAUUCUGUUGAUCUUUGAAAAAGAGCUGGCAAUGGAAGGAAAGAAUCCAGGUGCGCAAAUCAAGCUGAUUGACUUUGCUCAUGUUUACGAAGGACGAGGUGUCAUUGAUCAUAACUUCUUGGGUGGUCUCUGCUCGUUAAUAAAAUUCAUAGCUGAAAUUCUUACUGCUCCUAGUGAGUGCAGAAAAGAAGCUUCUGCAAAAGCUGAAGAACCUUACAGCCUCUGAUAAUGGUGUUGUAGCUGAUCAGAAGAACCUUACCUCCUCUGAUAAUGGUGUUGUAGCUGAUCAGGAGAACCUUACCACCUCUGAUAAUGGUGGUUUAGCUGAUCAGAAUAACCUUACCAUUUCUGAUAAUGGUGUUGUAGCUGAUCAGCAGAACCUUACCGCCUCUCAUAAUUGUGUUGUAGCUGAUCAGAACCUUACCGACUGUGAUUAUGGUGUUGUAGCUGAUCAGAAGAAGCUUACUGACUCUGAUAAGGGUGUCAGCUGAUACAACUCAAAACUCUUGUUGGAACCACUUCUCAUCCUGGACUCCAAUAAAGCCACAUUUUCCACCAUGCUGUGGAUAAUUUGCCUGAGUUGGUCAAUUUGGAGUCCUAUGCAAUGCUUACACGCGUCUUUUAUGAUUUUUCUGUAGUGCAAAGACAAUCUAAACUUAUGAUUUGCAGUCUUUGAUUACAUAUUUGCUACCUUACCUCA
RNA transcript from Solanum dulcamara, 1653 nucleotides. It is a transcript of the gene named inositol polyphosphate multikinase alpha-like, with no coding region annotated. The record is from RefSeq and is a predicted model, not a curated record. The transcript has 3 exons. NCBI's taxonomy places the organism in Eukaryota, Viridiplantae, Streptophyta, Magnoliopsida, Solanales, Solanaceae.